AGUGAACGCUGGCGGUAGGCCUAACACAUGCAAGUCGAACGGCAGCACAGUAAGAGCUUGCUCUUACGGGUGGCGAGUGGCGGACGGGUGAGGAAUACAUCGGAAUCUACUUUUUCGUGGGGGAUAACGUAGGGAAACUUACGCUAAUACCGCAUACGACCUACGGGUGAAAGCAGGGGAUCUUCGGACCUUGCGCGAUUGAAUGAGCCGAUGUCGGAUUAGCUAGUUGGCGGGGUAAAGGCCCACCAAGGCGACGAUCCGUAGCUGGUCUGAGAGGAUGAAGAGCCACACUGGAACUGAGACACGGUCCAGACUCCUACGGGAGGCAGCAGUGGGGAAUAUUGGACAAUGGGCGCAAGCCUGAUCCAGCCAUACCGCGUGGGUGAAGAAGGCCUUCGGGUUGUAAAGCCCUUUUGUUGGGAAAGAAAAGCAGCAGGUUAAUACCCCGCUGUUCUGACGGUACCCAAAUAAUAAGCACCGGCUAACUUCGUG
This 492-nucleotide ribosomal RNA is filed under the name uncultured bacterium. RNAcentral describes it as "partial 16S ribosomal RNA". It matches the Rfam family "Bacterial small subunit ribosomal RNA", at positions 29 to 507 of the family's 1533-position model. The record is from RNAcentral.